ACGGGUGCGUAACGCGUAUGCAACCUACCUUGAUCAGGGGGAUAGCCCGGAGAAAUCCGGAUUAACACCGCAUGAAGACACAGGACCGCAUGGUUCAAUGUCCAAACAUUUAUGGGAUCAAGAUGGGCAUGCGUGCCAUUAGCUAGUUGGCGGGGUAACGGCCCACCAAGGCGACGAUGGCUAGGGGAUCUGAGAGGAUGGCCCCCCACACUGGUACUGAGACACGGACCAGACUCAUACGGGAGGCAGCAGUAAGGAAUAUUGGUCAAUGGGCGCAAGCCUGAACCAGCCAUGCCGCGUGCAGGAAGACGGCCCUCCGGGUUGUAAACUGCUUUUAUACCGGAAUAAACCUCCCUACGUGUAGGGAGCUGAAUGUACGGUAGGAAUAAGGAUCGGCUAACUCCGUGCCAGCAGCCGCGGUAAUACGGAGGAUCCGAGCGUUAUCCGGAUUUAUUGGGUUUAAAGGGUGCGUAGGCGGCCUGUUAAGUCAGGGGUGAAAGACGGUGGCUCAACCAUCGCAGUGCCCUUGAUACUGACGGGCUUGAAUUAACUAGAGGCAGGCGGAAUGUGACAAGUAGCGGU
This 582-nucleotide ribosomal RNA is filed under the name Sphingobacteriaceae bacterium TDB-041. Its description in RNAcentral is "bacterial SSU rRNA". It matches the Rfam family "Bacterial small subunit ribosomal RNA", at positions 102 to 682 of the family's 1533-position model. Lineage: Bacteria; Pseudomonadati; Bacteroidota; Sphingobacteriia; Sphingobacteriales; Sphingobacteriaceae. The record is from RNAcentral.